RNAcentral lists this ribosomal RNA (503 nucleotides) under uncultured bacterium. RNAcentral's name for it is "partial 16S ribosomal RNA". It matches the Rfam family "Bacterial small subunit ribosomal RNA", at positions 30 to 523 of the family's 1533-position model. The record is from RNAcentral.
AUUGAACGCUGGCGGCAGGCUUAACACAUGCAAGUCGAGCGGGGUGAUGGUGCUUGCACUAUCACUUAGCGGCGGACGGGUGAGUAAUGCUUAGGAAUCUGCCUAUUAGUGGGGGACAACAUCUCGAAAGGGAUGCUAAUACCGCAUACGUCCUACGGGAGAAAGCAGGGGAUCACUUGUGACCUUGCGCUAAUAGAUGAGCCUAAGUCGGAUUAGCUAGUCGGUGGGGUAAAGGCCUACCAAGGCGACGAUCUGUAGCGGGUCUGAGAGGAUGAUACGCCACACUGGGACUGAGACACGGCCCAGACUCCUACGGGAGGCAGCAGUGGGGAAUAUUGGACAAUGGGGGGAACCCUGAUCCAGCCAUGCCGCGUGUGUGAAGAAGGCCUUAUGGUUGUAAAGCACUUUAAGCGAGGAGGAGGCUCUUUUGGUUAAUACCCAAGAUGAGUGGACGUUACUCGCAGAAUAAGCACCGGCUAACUCUGUGCCAGCAGCCGCCGUAA